This 62-nucleotide microRNA precursor is filed under the name Medicago truncatula (barrel medic). RNAcentral describes it as "miR2660 stem-loop (mtr-MIR2660)". Lineage: Eukaryota; Viridiplantae; Streptophyta; Magnoliopsida; Fabales; Fabaceae. The record is from miRBase by way of RNAcentral.
AGUAAGACAUCAGCUAUAAGCUAGUUUUUCAGCUUUCAGCUAGCUUAUAGCUUAUUUUUACC